CCUACGGGUGGCAGCAGUGAGGAAUAUUGGUCAAUGGGCGUAAGCCUGAACCAGCCAAGUCGCGUGAGGGAUGAAGGUUCUAUGGAUCGUAAACCUCUUUUAUAAGGGAAUAAAGUGUGGGACGUGUCCCGUUUUGUAUGUACCUUAUGAAUAAGUAUCGGCUAACUCCGUGCCAGCAGCCGCGGUAAUACGGAGGAUCCGAGCUGUAACCGGAUUUAUUGGGUUUAAAUGGUGCGUAGGGGGCAUUGUAAGUCAAGUGUGAAAGUCUGUGGCUGAACCAUAAAAUUGGCGUUGAAACUGGGAAGUUUGGAGUAGUGUAGGGGAGGGGGGAAGUGGGG
RNAcentral lists this ribosomal RNA (338 nucleotides) under uncultured bacterium. RNAcentral's name for it is "partial 16S ribosomal RNA". It matches the Rfam family "Bacterial small subunit ribosomal RNA", at positions 338 to 672 of the family's 1533-position model. The record is from RNAcentral.